Dromaius novaehollandiae (emu) is the source of this 2624-nucleotide long non-coding RNA. RefSeq lists it as uncharacterized. NCBI's taxonomy places the organism in Eukaryota, Metazoa, Chordata, Aves, Casuariiformes, Dromaiidae. The transcript has 6 exons. The record is from RefSeq and is a predicted model, not a curated record.
CGCUCGCCCCUGCGGACGCAGCCUGGAGGAGUGUGUGUGGGGGUGUCUGCGCGGGGGUCUGGAUGUGUCCAGCAGCGGCACGGCAGCCUGAUGCCUCCUCUCGUCUGGGACGCGGGUUCCUUGGCAGCUCUUCUGGGAUGCGGGGCCCUUGGGUAGUCCACCGAAGGGGGACAUCUCGAAGAGAAGCAGCGAGACCUGGGGAUCCGGUUGUUCGUUUUGGUCGUCGCCUGUGAGGCCAGCAUCCGAGCGUAAGAGGAAUCUAGGCGCUGUCUCGAGAAGAGAUGGCACCAAGGACAGCAAAUGCUGACAAAGAGAAGAGACGGACAAGCAUUUUCUUGUGAUUAAUACCGAAGGGACGGGAUGAGACAAGGAAGCCAAAAUGCAGUGGACCCUCGAUAUCACCAGGAACUGCUACAGGAGGCGGCGUUCUGGCACGGGUAACUAAGGGCGAUGGAUUUUACUCUGCCUCCAUCAACAGGCGCUGGCUGGCAAAGUCGUCGUGUCCCAGCGGAGACUCUUAGGCAGGACGGGAGGAGUUCGGAUCCGCAGCCUGCCAGAAGAGCGUCGCCUGGGAGGGGUCGCUAGCCUUGAGCUACAGGCACUGGUGUUCGGAACCUCAGGCAACAACUAUAUGCUGCCGCGAAAAGCUACCGGUUACCACUGCCGUCAGACGGGAUUUUUGCUGUCGCAAGUUACGGUUCCUUUUAGGAGCCAGCUACAAAAGUAACUUUGCUAUAGCAGAGAAAUGGGGUUACGUGUGUACGAGCAACAGCGCCAGAGUACACAGCAAAACCACAACCUACCAUAACCCAUCAGCUCCGUCUCUCUGGAGUCUGGAGUUUUUGGAGGCCUCAGUUUUUAUCCUGCCUUGGCUGGACAGUGCUUUCUGAGAGUGUCCGUCAGAGGCAGUUUCCCUGCAGAGGACCAUCUAGCGAAGGCUGGAGGUGGCCGGGUGCCUGAGCGAGCCUGCCUGUGCGUGAGAGCCGCUCUGACAUCUUUGCGAUGAAGCAGUGCCAGAGAGGGUGACUGAAGCAGCACGGGAGGGUGCCGAAGCCCAGUCGGGCAGUCGAAGGAGCCUCGUCGCAGCUGGGAGCUCUGCGGAGAUGCGCGGCCGGCUGUGGAGGAUGAGCUCUGACUUGCGGCGUGGACACGGCUAAGUCCUGGGCUGCAUCGUACGCGAGUGGGGCUGGGAGGUGCGAGGCGUUCGUCCCCUAGCCGUGGUCACUGGCGCCGCUGGCUGUGGCCGUUUGCCCACGGAGCUGAGAGGACCAAACAUACUGAUUGCCUGACCCAGAGAUGAAUUAGUGCUUGCAGGCUUUCAGGUAGGUUCAGUGCAAGUGCAGCUUAGAGCAGUCCCGUGGAGUGACGCUUGCACAUGCUCACAUUUGAAUGGUGGCUAAAACCAAGCCUCUAAACAGCAACUGUAACGCAAUUCUGGUGCUUGUCUUCCUGUUCUGCUGUACUUCUAAAGGAAGGGAAAACUUCCUAAGCUGCGGGCAAAACUCUUUGGCUUCUCUUGACUGUUUCCAUGCUCUGGAAACAGCUUUGGGUGCUUUGGUGCUUGUUGCUUAAAGCUGAGGGUUUGGAAUUUUUCACUUAAGGUUGAUUGUUUAGCUUGCUGCUGAGGGUCUCUCACCCAGGAGUUACGGGUUAUUCCUUUCUUUUGUGGGGCUCACUCUUUAUCAGUCAGGGUUUACAGUUUGCUCAUGUAGCAAUCGGGGCGCAGAAUUUAAAAUCCAACCCCAUCCCUUGUCCCGAUCCAAUAUCGGGGGGGUUUCGUUACGAUCCCAAGGACGAGAUUAAGACGCUAAAACCGGUCAAAUAUCGUACAACCGUUUAACAUUAUUUUCCACAAAGUGGGGAGAAAAGGUGGGGAAAGGCGAAGGAGAGGCGAAGGGAAGAGGGGAACAAGGGUAAGGGGAAAAGAUAGAGAAAGCUGGAAAAGGAGAGAAAGAGCUGGCUACCACCAGUCCAAGUCCAAUGAUGUUCUGCUGACUCUGUUCGAAUUACAGCUCAGGCUGGGUGCCUCCAAAGAGGGACCCCGAACAAAGAAAUCCCUGGGCAAUGAUACUUUCCAAUCUAAGCUCUCCACCCUUCACACAGUAGUUUGGACCAAUAGUAAUAUUUAGGUCUGGGGUCUCCUGCUCCCUAUUGCGUCCCUCGGUAGGUUGUUUACUGUUGCGGUUUCUGCUGGUGGAUGUGUCUUCAUUCUUCGGGUCCUGCCCUUGUCUCUCAAGGCCCUGACAAAUCAGUACUGCCCCAGCAGUGAUAGUAGGUGUUAUCUCCCAAGGUCCAGACAAAGGGAAUAUGAUCUGGACCCCGAGAUAGUCCAGACCCCCCCCUAAUCAGCACUGUUUCAGCAGCGAGAGGAGCCCCAUCAUCCAACUACGAUGGCAGUUCUUUGACCAUUUGCUUGUCCAGCCACUCAGACCAUAGAGGCCUCGUUUGUGUGCAAGUAUACUGUGGGAGAAAGUGUCAAAAGCCUUCUGAAAGUUGAGGUAACUGACAUUCACUGCUCUCUGUUUGUCCAUAAAUAGAGUUCUUUUAACAUAGAAAGCCAUCACGUUGGUGAGGCAUGAUUUCCCCUCAGGAAAUCUGUGCUGACUCUUCCCAGGCACCUCAUU